GUUAGGAAUAUUGGACAAUGGGCGCAAGCCUGAUCCAGCCAUGCCGCGUGAGUGAUGAAGGCCUUCGGGUUGUAAAGCUCUUUAGCCGAUGAUUAUAAUGACUGUAGUCGGAAAAUAAGCCCCGGCUAACUUCGUGCCAGCAUCCGCGGUAAUACGAAGGGGGCGAGCGUUAUUCGGAAUCACUGGGCGUAAAGCGUGCGUAGGCGGCUUUGCAAGUUGGGAGUGAAAGCCCAGGGCUCAACCCUGGAAUUGCUCUCAAAACUGCAAGGCUCGAAUUCGGGAGAGGAUAGCGGAAUUUCCAGUGUAGCAGUGAAAUGCGUAGAUAUUGGAAGGAACACCAGUGGCGUAAGCGGCUAUCUGGACGAGUAUUGACGCUGAGGCACGAAAGCGUGGGGAUCAAACAGGAUUAGAUACCCGAGUAGUCC
RNAcentral lists this ribosomal RNA (425 nucleotides) under uncultured bacterium. Its description in RNAcentral is "partial 16S ribosomal RNA". It matches the Rfam family "Bacterial small subunit ribosomal RNA", at positions 354 to 796 of the family's 1533-position model. The record is from RNAcentral.